RNAcentral lists this ribosomal RNA (393 nucleotides) under Staphylococcus agnetis. RNAcentral describes it as "bacterial SSU rRNA". It matches the Rfam family "Bacterial small subunit ribosomal RNA", at positions 1 to 383 of the family's 1533-position model. The record is from RNAcentral. Lineage: Bacteria; Bacillati; Bacillota; Bacilli; Caryophanales; Staphylococcaceae.
UUUAUGGAGAGUUUGAUCCUGGCUCAGGAUGAACGCUGGCGGCGUGCCUAAUACAUGCAAGUCGAGCGAACAGAUGAGGAGCUUGCUCCUUUGACGUUAGCGGCGGACGGGUGAGUAACACGUGGGUAACCUACCUAUAAGACUGGAAUAACUCCGGGAAACCGGGGCUAAUGCCGGAUAACAUGUUGAACCGCAUGGUUCAACAGUGAAAGACGGUCUUGCUGUCACUUAUAGAUGGACCCGCGCCGUAUUAGCUAGUUGGUAAGGUAACGGCUUACCAAGGCGACGAUACGUAGCCGACCUGAGAGGGUGAUCGGCCACACUGGAACUGAGACACGGUCCAGACUCCUACGGGAGGCAGCAGUAGGGAAUCUUCCGCAAUGGGCGAAAGCC